UGGGGAAUUUUGGACAAUGGGCGAAAGCCUGAUCCAGCAAUGCCGCGUGUGUGAAGAAGGCCUUCGGGUUGUAAAGCACUUUUGUCCGGAAAGAAAUCCUUGGCUCUAAUACAGUCGGGGGAUGACGGUACCGGAAGAAUAAGCACCGGCUAACUACGUGCCAGCAGCCGCGGUAAUACGUAGGGUGCAAGCGUUAAUCGGAAUUACUGGGCGUAAAGCGUGCGCAGGCGGUUUGCUAAGACCGAUGUGAAAUCCCCGGGCUCAACCUGGGAACUGCAUUGGUGACUGGCAGGCUAGAGUAUGGCAGAGGGGGGUAGAAUUCCACGUGUAGCAGUGAAAUGCGUAGAGAUGUGGAGGAAUACCGAUGGCGAAGGCAGCCCCCUGGGCCAAAUACUGACGCUCAUGCACGAAAAGCGUGGGGAGCAAACAGGAUUAGAUACCCUGGUAGUCCACGCCCUAAAACGAUGUCAACUAGUUGUUGGGGAUUCAUUUCCUUAGUAACGUAGCUAACGCGUGAAGUUGACCGCCUGGGGAGUACGGUCGCAAGAUUAAAACUCAAAGGAAUUGACGGGGUCAUAGCUGUUUCCU
This 588-nucleotide ribosomal RNA is filed under the name uncultured bacterium. Its description in RNAcentral is "partial 16S ribosomal RNA". It matches the Rfam family "Bacterial small subunit ribosomal RNA", at positions 355 to 1375 of the family's 1533-position model. The record is from RNAcentral.